UACGUAGGGACCUAGCGUUGUCCGGAAUCAUUGGGCGUAAAGCGCGCGUAGGCGGCCCGGUAAGUCCGUUGUAAAAGUCGAAGGCUCAACCUUCGAAAGCCGAUGGAUACUGCCGGGCUAGAGUACGGAAGAGGCGAGUAGAAUUCCUGGUGUAGCGGUGGAAUGCGCAGAUAUCAGGAGGAAUACCCAUAGCGAAGGCAGCUCGCUGGGACGUUACUGACGCUGAGGCGCGAAAGCGUGGGGAGCGAACAGG
Molecule: ribosomal RNA, 253 nt
Filed under: uncultured bacterium
Lineage: Bacteria
Description: partial 16S ribosomal RNA
Rfam family: Bacterial small subunit ribosomal RNA
Source: RNAcentral